Molecule: long non-coding RNA, 401 nt
Organism: Drosophila bipectinata
Lineage: Eukaryota; Metazoa; Arthropoda; Insecta; Diptera; Drosophilidae
Source: RefSeq, a predicted model, not a curated record
GCGGCAGCUGACAGUUUCAGUAAACCACGGAGACGAACGGAUUACGGGCGACGCUGGCGAAAUUGAAACUAAAACAGCAACAGGAAACCACAAAUAAUAAUAAUAAUAUUAGCUAUAUAAUACGGAAACCCCAAUUAUAAUAAUAGCAACAGUUAAAGCGAAAGGCAAAACCAAUCCCCAAUAUCCCCCCAUAAUAAUAACAAUAAUAAUAGAAGAAUAAAUAAUAAAAAAAAACACAAAACCGAAAAACCAAACACCAAUAACAGCUCUGGGAACAAAACGCAACGUUUGAUGAAAAUUUUUGGCAACACGUCGCGUCGUCUUGGUUGUUGUUAAAAAUAAAAAAUAAACACACACUAAAAAUAUAUAGAAAUACACAAACAACAGCAUAAUAAUAAAAA